This 210-nucleotide ribosomal RNA is filed under the name uncultured bacterium. RNAcentral's name for it is "partial 16S ribosomal RNA". It matches the Rfam family "Bacterial small subunit ribosomal RNA", at positions 568 to 774 of the family's 1533-position model. The record is from RNAcentral.
CGCGUAGGUGGCUUGUCAGGUCUGGUGUGAAAUCUUGGGGCUCAACCCCCAAGCGUGCAUUGGAAACCGGGCUUGCUAGAGUCUGGGAGAGGAGAGUGGAAUUCCUGGUGUAGCGGUGAAAUGCGUAGAUAUCAGGAGGAACACCAGUAGCGAAGGCGGCUCUCUGGAACAGUACUGACGCUGAGGCGCGAAACGCUAGGGGAGCGAACA